This 253-nucleotide ribosomal RNA is filed under the name uncultured bacterium. Its description in RNAcentral is "partial 16S ribosomal RNA". It matches the Rfam family "Bacterial small subunit ribosomal RNA", at positions 524 to 776 of the family's 1533-position model. The record is from RNAcentral.
UACGUAGGGUGCGAGCGUUAAUCGGAAUUACUGGGCGUAAAGCGUGCGCAGGCGGCUUUGCAAGACAGAUGUGAAAUCCCCGGGCUCAACCUGGGAACUGCAUUUGUGACUGCAAGGCUAGAGUACGGCAGGGGGGGAUGGAAUUCCGCGUGUAGCAGUGAAAUGCGUAGAUAUGCGGAGGAACACCAAUGGCGAAGGCAAUCCCCUGGGCCUGUACUGACGCUCAUGCACGAAAGCGUGGGGAGCAAACAGG